UCCCUAGCAGUCCAGUGGUUAGGACUCUGUCCUUUCACUGCUGAGGGUCCAGGUUCAAUCCCUGGUCAGGGAA
Bos taurus (domestic cattle) is the source of this 73-nucleotide non-coding RNA. The record is from Rfam. NCBI's taxonomy places the organism in Eukaryota, Metazoa, Chordata, Mammalia, Artiodactyla, Bovidae.